CAAGAACGUGUGUGUGUGUGUAUGCAUGUGAGAAUGUGUGUGUACGGGUUCGUACUAUCCUGGUGGGGACCAAAAUCUGACAUUUACUAUACUGGUGGGGACUUUCUGCACCGUGGGGACCAAAAUCCAGGUCCCCUCGGGGUUGAAAGCAAUUUUCACACUGAAAAUGGGGUUUUAGUGUCAGGGUUACAAUUAGGUUAUGGUUAGGUUUAGGGUAAGGGUUAGGGUUAGGCAUUCAUUUUUAAUGGUUAGGGUUAGGGUAAGGGGCUAGGGAAACCAUUAUGUCAAUGGGAUGUCCCCACCAGGAUAGCAAACCAGACAUGUGUGUGUGUGUGUGUGUGUGUGUGUGCGUCCGUAAAAAAGAUUUGUGUGUGGACUUAGCCAAAAACCCCAUGCAAGUUACAAGUACGAAUUUUGACCCUAUUUUUCUUCCUUUUAGCUGAUUGGUUAAUGUCAUGUCAAUCACAAAUUAAACAGUCCAAUCAGAGAACAGAUGGGUUUGGCUAUCUAUCUAGAUAGAUAGAUCAGUCUAUAUAUAUUUAAACACUGAUCUUUUUUUUUUCUUUUGCACCACUUUGGGUAAAGUGAAGUGGAUGACCUGCAUCACACAGCACAUGAAGUCAGAGACACACUUCCCAAUUUUGCUGCUGAGAUGAACACUGACAUCCCAGCCAACAAUAAGGAAGGUACUUUUCAUACCAAAUGUCAGAGUUAUUUUUGCAUACAAUGUACUUUAUCUUUUAGUAGAACAGUGGGGAAAGGCUAGUGAUCCGCAAGAUGCUGCAGUUUUGUUUAAAAGGCAUCUCUUAAAGGAAAAGGAGGAGAACCCCAUAAUCACAGCUAUCAUUGGCAUUCGACAAGAUCAAACAUCCCAGAGCCGAGAGAUCAUUGCUUUCUACAAAAGACCACAGAUUGAUUGGGCAGGACCUUUUCAUUGUUCUUUACAAGGUAAUGCUUAUGUUGAUGCAUAGAUUCAGUUAGUUUUCAGUUAGUUUCUUUAAAGAAACUAACUGAAAUGUUAACUCAUUUACCAAGUUAACAUUCCAACUUGGUAAAUGAGAAUUUUCCAUUAAAGGGUGCUGUAAAGCAGUUUGUAACUUUACUUGUGUUGUUGUUGUUUUUUCUUUUUCCCAAUUUUAAAAUAGGUGACAUAGCUGUUGGCACUGGGGUCCAGAGCAAGGUUAUUAUCGUUAACUAAAACUAACGAAAUAACGAAAACUAGAAGUGAAAAAACAUUUUCGUUAACGGAAAUAAAAAUAAAAACGAAAAAAGGAAAACUAACUAAAACUGUAAUGAGUGUUCACAAAACUAACUAAAAUUAACUGAAUUUAUAGCAAAAAUAUGUUUAGUUUUUGUUUAUGUGUGCGUGUCAUACAAUAGUCAAGGGUGAAAAAGAAGUUUAGUUUCCAGGUUUUUUUCUUGCUGUGUCUCAUUAUGCCAGCAGGUGGCAGUACGUUAGUCGAGUCGUCUGUGUUGCUGCUCCGUCCACGCGCAGAAUCAUGUCAGGAAAAGUCUGGAAAAAGCGCCAGAGUCCAAUUUGGGAUUACUUUGAAUAUGUUUUGAAUAAAGCAAGUGUCUUGUAGAGGAACGAGACAAAUUAUGAGGGACAUUUCUAAAGGGAAAAAAAUCCCACAAACCUUAAAGUGCACUUGAAAAGCUCACACAAGAAGGCUAAGCUAGCUUACCUUGAGAAGGUAAGGGAGCACGCCCAACCCUCAUCCCCAGAAACAGAAGCUAACCCCAGGCAAGGCAGCGUGAUGCAUCCCGAGACAACAGGACUGGGAUAUCUACAUAACUGUGUGAGUCAAUUGCCUUCAAAAAGCUUAUCAAUUCACUUGAACCAAAAUUACGAACACCCGGUGCUGCAAGAGUUAAUAGUCUCGUUGUGGCCAAGAUAUACGUUUUAUAGUUGCCUGGUAUCAACGGUUGUUCAUCUCCCCUAAUUUAUUUAUUUAUUAAUUUAUUUAUUUAUUUAUUUGUUUAAAGAACCCAUAGGUGGGAAUGUGAGUUGUCUGUCUCUGCAUGUUAGCCCUGUGACAGACAGGCGACGUGUGCAGGGUGCAGGGUAUGGUAGCUGGAAUAGCAACAUACCCAAGGAUAAGCAGAAGAGAAUGCCUGAUAUAAUGAAACUGGGAUUUUGUUACACUUUAUUGCAAACACAACUAAAACUAUAACUGAAACUAAUCAAAACUAAACUGAAACUAAGGAUUUUCCAAAAAAUAAAAACUAAACUAAACUAGCAAACAAUUGGUAAAAACUAAUUAAAACUAAUAUAAAAUUGAAAAUCUGAAGUCAAAACGAAAUAAAAAUAAAAACUAAUGAAAAUUGCAAAACUAUUAAAACCCUCGUCCAGAGACAUUUUUUCUGCAUGGCAAUGCUAAAGUUGCAACAUGGCUUUAACACCCAUAGCGGUAUGCUUCUAUAUCCUUUUCUUAAUUAAUGUGAGAUGAGUUUUUAAACAAAUCCAUCGAAAAAUUUACUCCAGAAAUUAAAAAAAAAAAAGAUACCAUUGAAGUAUUUGCAUCAUGUUUGACAACUUCGUUAAUCAACUACUUAUGUCAAUAGUUAUUUUGCUUGUACUGUUCUUCUCCAGGUGCAGCCAACAUGACCCUUCUCUUUGAGGGACAACAGAACCAUCUAGUGCCUUCUACUUCUCAGAUUUUGGCAGACAGUGACUUUGUGGUAGCAGGCAGAAUGAUUGGGCAUUCAUUUUUGAACGAUGGGCCACGAUUGCAUGGCCUCAGCAAGGCUAUUAUUCACAUGUUGGUCCAUGCUGAUAGAGACACUGUCACUGUCCAGCUCGAUGAUGUGCCAGAUCUAGAUAUUCGUUCUACAAUUUACAGGCUUGACGGUAACAAACACCUCACUGAGCAGCAGAAGGAUGACAUUAACAAUUUGGCCAUUUCCUGGGACUUGCCACCCGUCAGUGCAGAAAACUGCAGAUGGCUGUUCCAACAGCUUCUCCAUCAUGCAGUGAUAGGCUGAACUAAAAGGCAGACAAAACACAUCAGAAAAGGUCUGAAGGACACCGGAUUGUUGACUAUGCUUCAACAAAGACCUGACACAGCCUCAGUGGUCUUUCCCCAGCAUGAAGACAGCAUUCUUACUGCACAGGCUGUUCUUAGCCACAUUGUUUGGCCAGGAGAUGAGGGCGAUGAUGAAGACGAUGAUGAUCCACCUUACCCACUAAGCAUCCAAAUGCAAACAGUGGGAUUUCUGAAGACCUACAUUGAAACAGCCACUCCAUUCCAGCUCAGCCAGCUGAUGAGGUUUUGGGUCGGGUGGGAAAUUCCGACUGGUACCAUGAAGGUUGAAGUGGUCAAAGCAGACUACCUCAUAUCCUGUACAUGUUUUGGAAUGUUGCGUGUCCCUGGGCACUUCCACGAGUACAAUGUCUUUUCCAAACAUGUUGAUGAUUGCAUUGCAACUUGUGCCACAGGUUUCGGCCUUAUUUAAAAGCAAUUUGUAGACACUGGAUGUCGAAUAAACUUUACCAUGCUUGAAAAAUGUUUUACAUAGCCAAAAGUUUCACUGUUUACGUAGGCUUAUUGAUUUUUUGGGAAUAUUGUUAUGCGAGUUUAAAUAUAAAAAUUAAAGUUACAGUUCCCACCAUUAACAUUUAUAUUUGAAGUUAAGGAACUAAUGAUUGUGUUAUUUAGGGUUGUUUUGUUAACUUGAAGUCAUUGUCAUGCAUCCGAUUCACAUCAUCUCUUUGUUUGAAGCAGUUUCAUGGAUUACAAGAGGUGUAAAAAAGUAGAUUAAUACUAAAGCUGUAUUAAAUGUUACACACAGUCCAAUGCUGUUGAAUAUAAUGUUAAUAAAAAUCUGCCACACUGUCAGCUGUGGUCAAGCUAUUUAAUUACCGCAUGCAGGACAG
Long non-coding RNA from Oreochromis aureus, 3877 nucleotides. The record is from Ensembl. Lineage: Eukaryota; Metazoa; Chordata; Actinopteri; Cichliformes; Cichlidae.